AACGAACGCUGGCGGCAUGCCUAACACAUGCAAGUCGAACGAGACCUUCGGGUCUAGUGGCGCACGGGUGCGUAACGCGUGGGAACCUGCCCUUAGGUUCGGAAUAACUCCCCGAAAGGGGUGCUAAUACCGGAUAAUGUCUUCGGACCAAAGAUUUAUCGCCUUUGGAUGGGCCCGCGUUGGAUUAGCUAGUAGGUAGGGUAAAAGCCUACCAAGGCGACGAUCCAUAGCUGGUCUGAGAGGAUGAUCAGCCACACUGGGACUGAGACACGGCCCAGACUCCUACGGGAGGCAGCAGUGGGGAAUAUUGGACAAUGGGCGAAAGCCUGAUCCAGCAAUGCCGCGUGAGUGAUAAAGGCCUUGGGGUUGUAAAGCUCUUUUACCCGGGAUGAUAAUGACAGUACCGGGAGAAUAAGCUCCGGCUAACUCCGUG
Molecule: ribosomal RNA, 433 nt
Filed under: uncultured bacterium
Lineage: Bacteria
Description: partial 16S ribosomal RNA
Rfam family: Bacterial small subunit ribosomal RNA
Source: RNAcentral